UGGCUCAGGAUGAACGCUGGCGGCGUGCUUAACACAUGCAAGUCGAACGGAGCCAAGAGAUGCUUGCAUCUCGGAAGCUUAGUGGCGGACGGGUGAGUAACGCGUGAGUAACCUGCCCUUUACCGGGGGAUAACACUUAGAAAUAGGUGCUAAUACCGCAUAAGCGCACAGUGCCGCAUGGCAGAGUGUGAAAAACUCCGGUGGUAAAGGAUGGACUCGCGUCUGAUUAGCCAGUUGGCAGGGUAACGGCCUACCAAAGCGACGAUCAGUAGCCGGCCUGAGAGGGUGAACGGCCACAUUGGGACUGAGACACGGCCCAAACUCCUACGGGAGGCAGCAGUGGGGAAUA
Molecule: ribosomal RNA, 349 nt
Filed under: uncultured rumen bacterium
Lineage: Bacteria
Description: bacterial SSU rRNA
Rfam family: Bacterial small subunit ribosomal RNA
Source: RNAcentral